This is a long non-coding RNA of Tachysurus vachellii, 695 nucleotides long. RefSeq lists it as uncharacterized. The transcript is spliced from 5 exons. Lineage: Eukaryota; Metazoa; Chordata; Actinopteri; Siluriformes; Bagridae. The record is from RefSeq and is a predicted model, not a curated record.
CUUUAAUAUUGCCGACAAUGCAGGAUGGACAGCUCUACAUGAGGCCUGUGCUGAAGGUUAUCCAGAUGUGGUGGAGGAACUUUUGCGUGCAGGUGCAAAUGUUACUAGCAGGGGACCAGAAGGAUUCACUCCUCUCCAUGAUGCUGUAGUGUCGGGUGAAUAUGAGGUCGUGUUGCUUCUUCUUCAGUAUGGCUCAAAUCCUCAUGAUAAGAAUUCACACGGACAGAGUGCACUGGACCUUGCAAAACAUGAAAUCAUCAAAGACCUGCUAUUGACAUUCAGAGAACCUCCUGUUGUAUCUGGGAAACCAAAUGAAUCUUUUAAACAAGAUUCUGAAUUUUCACAAGGUAAUCAAGUUCACAGACAACCCAGACAGCCACCUUCCUCUUACAGGAGAGAUGAUAAGAGGAACACUGCAGGAAGCAGUGCUGGCCCUGCAAAUAUCUUUGUAUGUAAAAUUUAUUAACAACAGCUACAAUACUGCAAAUUAUUAUAAUGAUUUAAUCAUUAAUCGAUUAAUCAGUUUUAAUAAUUUUUAGGUUGGUCAGUUACAAACCACAAAGGCAACACCCAUAGAGGUGCUAUCGAAGCAGACAGGAGCAUUAAGAAAUGAAACUCUUAUGUGCAUCACUUCCAUCCAACUGAUUACUAAGGAAGAGUUCCUGCCAUCUUACAUGAUGGACAGAUACUGGGAU